RNAcentral lists this transfer RNA (92 nucleotides) under Mycoplasma haemofelis Ohio2. RNAcentral's name for it is "tRNA-Ser (GGA) (tRNA-Ser-GGA-1-1)". It matches the Rfam family "tRNA". From Rfam's summary of the family: Transfer RNA (tRNA) molecules are approximately 80 nucleotides in length. Their secondary structure includes four short double-helical elements and three loops (D, anti-codon, and T loops). Lineage: Bacteria; Bacillati; Mycoplasmatota; Mollicutes; Mycoplasmatales; Mycoplasmataceae. The record is from RNAcentral. RNAcentral also lists the same sequence under 2 other names.
GGAACAGUACCCAAGAGGCUUAAGGGGACGGCUUGGAAAGCUGUUAGGUAUAUAAAAAUUACGCGAAGGUUCGAAUCCUUUCUGUUCCGCCA